GACGAACGCUGGCGGCGUGCUUAACACAUGCAAGUCGAGCGGUAAGGCCCGUUUCGGGGGUACACGAGCGGCGAACGGGUGAGUAACACGUGGGUGACCUGCCCUCAGCUCUGGGAUAAGGCCUGGGAAACCGGGUCUAAUACUGGAUAUGACUCCAUGACGCAUGUUGUAGGGGUGGAAAGCCUUGUGCGGCUGAGGAUGGGCCCGCGGCCUAUCAGCUUGUUGGUGGGGUGAUGGCCUACCAAGGCGACGACGGGUAGCCGGCCUGAGAGGGCGACCGGCCA
This 284-nucleotide ribosomal RNA is filed under the name uncultured bacterium. Its description in RNAcentral is "partial 16S ribosomal RNA". It matches the Rfam family "Bacterial small subunit ribosomal RNA", at positions 28 to 310 of the family's 1533-position model. The record is from RNAcentral.